This 5097-nucleotide long non-coding RNA is filed under the name Sus scrofa (pig). Its description in RNAcentral is "lncRNA (ENSSSCG00000055047.1)". The record is from RNAcentral. Lineage: Eukaryota; Metazoa; Chordata; Mammalia; Artiodactyla; Suidae.
UUUGUGGUACCAGCCAUUCUGACAGCACUGUCGUUUUGAUUUGCAUUUUCUUGAUGCUUAGUGACCUUGAUCAUGCUGCUUCUCUUUGGCACAUUGUAUUUAUUCAUUUUUUUCUAUCUUUAGAAGGGUUAAGAUUUUAGGUUUUUGCUUCUAGCAUGCUAUUGUUGCUGAUACUGGGAGAGACUGUGGAUACAGUUGCUCACCCAUGAAUAUUCACACCAACUGAAUAUACUGUAAAAUAGACAGUAACCAUGGUAAAAAAUGCCUCAGAAAUGAAAUGAUACCUAAAGCAAACUGUUGCUAAAUGAUGAACAUAAGAUGAAGAGCACUUUCUUGGCAAAAUGUAAUUAUUCUUUGUAGUUUUAUCUCAGUAGUAAAGAUUUAUAUAUACCUAUUAUUGAUCAAGAGAAAGUUCAGUUUAAUAGCUUAUAAGUGGCAUAUGUGAUAAAAGGACAUCCCAAGGUUGAAUAGGAACACAUUUUAAAGAAAAAGGUAGAGGCAAUAUUUGCAUACAAGAAUCAUGGAAAAUAUGCACAUACUUAUAGAUGUUAAAUAUGAGUGCAACUGGGAUAAUGGUCUUAAAAAUAUGUUCUGGUUUUGUUUUUGUCUCUUUCUAUGUAUUUUUCUUCUACAGCCUGAGGAAUUCACAUGGCUGAGAGUGGGGAUGAGGGUAGAGGAUUGCUACAGUAGGACUAUAAAGGGAAAGAAAAAAUUAACCUUCAGUUUCUGCCAUUUCAAACAGGAUUUUGCAGGAAAGCAAGAGGCUUGCAAGAGAAACUUUAUUGAGGAAGAGACAAUUUUCUCAAAUUUAGCAUAUCAGGAACCAGACAGGGAGAACUUGGACCAGAACAUCAGAGUUUCUUUGAUAAAGAUAACCAAAAAUAAAUGUCCAUCAAUCUAUGAUGACCAUUCUUUGAGACACACUGCUCUAAGGAUGACGUGAGGUCCUCUUGUCUAGAGAGAUUGAAGGAUAAGAAGGGAGAGAGGCAGAGUAGGUAGGGAGUGAGAGACAUCCCAGCCUCUCUUGUCUGGGUUAAAAUAUGUUAAAUAAUCUGAAGGGAGUGCCAAAUUCAGGCAGUUGUGUCCCUGAUUGGCAUAUUGGUGUUGAGGGUAGGGGGUUAUUUUUGGUAAGUUACCACUAAGUUGUGGGAGAGUCCAUAGCAAGCUAAACUCUGUGACUCCGUGAUUUUAGGUGUAAAAGGGAGCCAAGCUUAGUUUUCCUGUUUACCUCUGAUUCAUGAUCUAGACAAGAUCCAGAAGCUUCCACUAUUCUUUAGGAAUAACAACAUUUUGCUAAGGGUCUAGCCGAGGAAUUUGCUGUAGGUUGGAGUGAGUUUGGAGUUACCAUGUAGGUGAGGACUGCAAGGCAAAGACCUUGGGCCAGGAUCAAAGAAUAGACACAAACCUUCCCAGGGGCCAACUAAGCCAACAAGCAAUGCUAGACCCAGAACAAGCCAAGGAGAGCAAACCACAAAUUAUACCAGGCAUUGAUUUGUGCUGUAAAUGCUGGUGAGGGAGAAGUGGCAAUCUGACUAGGGUGGUUAACGCAGAGGUCAGGGAAGCAAGAGGAUUCCACUUAGAUCAUUAGAUCCCUUUGUCUGCUGCCAUGAACAUGCACCAUCUGAGGGCAGGGUGGUGGAUGCGAGGAUUUUGGAAACCCUGGCCGUGGUCCCAGUCUGGGAGUUCCCAGUAGAAGUCUGCCUAUACCUUCUGUAUGAUCCCAGGAGGGAUCCAUGAGGUAUCUCAAGAGAUACUUCAAAGUAUGGUCUCAGAGUGACAGAUUACCAGAUUGGACUAAAAUGUAAAUAUUCUUCCUCUGCUACUAGCUGGUGAGUGCUAGUGAGGAUUCUCAGAAGAGUUAUUAGGAAGAUUUUAAAAAAAAUGUACAUUUUUCUCUGCCCAUCUGAGCAAAGGGUGAGAAAUAUGCAGUUCCAACAAAUCGAUAAAACUCUUAAACACAUUAUAUACUAUGACAAAUGAUCGCCACAACAAAUUAAGUUAGGAAAACCCUUGUGAGAGUUUGACAUUUUUAAAUUCUAGAAAUGUGUUGAGGAAAUACUGUAUGUCCUGGGGGUUGAUUCUGCCUGCUCUCCACUAAGUAGGGAUAUUAGCUACUAUUCUAAGGGCAUGGGGUGUAGCGGGGAGAACACAGGCUCCAGGCUCAAAUCCAGACUCCACCAUUCCUUGCCUUGGAGCUUGGCCAAGUGGCAUCUGUGUCCUCAUCUGAAGAUGGGAAGGAUCAAACGUCUUCACAGGUGGAUUUCAGAAUUAAUACAUGUAAACUAUUUAAGAUGUGCUCAUAAACACUCAGUUUCAUUACAAACGUAAACUGUCUAUUGCUUUGUGUGAAAACAACUUGAGACCUGCCUAGGAGUAAACAAAGCACAGGGGUCUUGUUAGAGGGGCUUCUCUGUGGGAGAUGGAUUUUGAGUGUCGUGAGUCUAUGUAUUUGGCAACAAAUUUUUCUAAAUCUUCAAAUUCUUUAAUCGAUGAUGUAUCAUUCUUUUACCUAGUUAGAAAAGAGCAGAAAAAGACCAUGAUAUGAAUAGGUCAUUAACAAGAAUUCCAUUGUAUUUUACAUGUUAGAUGCCACUUUCAGGGAUCAGAGUAAGAUCAUAGGAUGUAAUCAACGUUUAUACAUUUUAAUGUUAUAUUAGAGCUCAUUUCAUGGCUAGGUAUAAUUGCCCCCAAUACUUAAGUAUUCCCUAUAACUCAUUUUGCAUUUCUUACUCAUGAAUUUAUCUAAAUCUUUGAAAAAAUUUCUCUAGCAUAAUCUCUUAAAGCAUGUGGGUUCCUUCAGUUUUUGCCCAUACUGUAUAGAAAUUCCUUUUAUUUGUAAUGCAACCAUCUCUCUCCAACACAAGUGUUUUUCUUUGUUAUUUUUGUAGACAAAAGGAAUGGGAAAAAUGCUCUUUUCACUUUCAUGAUGCAUACUGAUUUUUCAAGAGAGUUCGAAAGUGACCUGGCAAGUGAAAUAGAUUAUUUACCAAAAUACAGAAGACACUGUUCUUACCCUCCAAUAAAACAGAUGAUUUCUUAAAAUGGCUGUUUACUGUCUAUCACUGUGAAAUUCAAAACUUCCUCUCAUGAGUUAAUGUUUGGGAAUGGUUGUCUUGCACAGAAGUUCUUAGUGAGGCUUCUAUGUUUUUCUGAGAUGGUUAAGUACAGCACCUAAUGUGGAUAUUCUGGCCCUUACUUUUCGCUGGAGAAUUAAGGAAACAAGCUCCAGAUGACUAGCCGUUUUUAAUCGAGUGGUUGCAUACUCAGUAUACUUCCUGGAAAGAACAAACUGAAAAACAAAAACUGUACAUGUUGGCAGACUGUUCUCCUUGUGUCUCAUACUUUUCUGCAUGUCUUAUGAGCAGAGGCACCGAGUGACUUUGGGGCAAUCUUUUCAAUGUGUUUGUGUGGGCCUAAAGAGAAACUCAGAACUUAAGAUCUGUGCAUUUAAGGUUCAUGCAUUUAAGGGUCUUGCUGAAGGCUGUACCACAGGAGACAGUUCACUCAGCUCUGAGGAAAUUGCUCUGAAAAGGCAGGGGAGAAAGCAGUUUAUGUCUGAUUUUUGGCUCAGGAAUAUAUGCAGUCAAGCAUACAUUUUGGCAAAAGAUUACUGUUGAUCACAAAGAACAGGUAUUUCAGGUGAGUGAUUUUAGUUUAGGAAGAUGCAGGAAUCUGUGGUCAUUAAAAUUCUGCCUGAGAUAUGCAUCUAACUAUUUAAGGGACCUGCUUGUCCAAAGCACAGAGCAUGUCAAAUUACCUCAGUUUCUUCUCAGAGUCACUGUUGGUCAGCAGUGGGUUAAGACUUAAUCCUAGCAGAACCAAUGUGGUGGUGGGGGAGGGCGGGGGAGGGUGGUGGUGAUGAGCAAUUCUCUUUGUUCUUCUUUAGUUCACUUUCGUAAAGGAAACAGCUCUGAAAGAUAGAGCCUGCAUCUCCCUCUGGAACAGAGAGGGAGGCGUGCUUACCAUCCCUGUAAUAGCUUGGGUUCUUGCAGCAUACACCCCACCCCCCAACCCGGUGUGUGCAGGUGUCCCUUGACUCUCGCGGCAUUGACUCCUGGGAACCAGGGCUCAGGGAACUGACCCAAGAAAAUACGAAUACUCUGGCAACUAUUUAUCCUGUGAGUAACCAAGUGUUUUGACUCUGACCCAGGAGUUGUGUGUGUUCUGAGGAUCCAUAAACUGUGGCAGACUGAGAAUGAAAGAGGAGUGCAUAUCCAAAAGAGAGUUGAGGUGCAUUACCUGAAAAUGGUGCUGGUAAUCAAUGACUAGAUAUCCGAUACCAUGACAGGUAAUUUUGCAUGUAUGGUUCCUUCCUCCUACUGAUUUUCUUGAUUAGCAGCUCUCCUUAUCCAAGUCCUAGUCUUCAACUAAGGCCAAGCAAAUUUCUCCAGCCCAGGGACAGCGUCAAACCUCUUGAUAUCACAUUUCUAGAAAAAUGCAUUGUAUAAAUAAGCAUUCAGUAAAUAUUUGCUAUUGGUUUAUCUGUGUCCUCCUGUGUCUUCUGCCUCUAGGAUCUUGGAAGACAGAGACUAUAGUAUUUGGGAUUCAUUAAAGUUUUUAGCAAUAUUAGUAUAUAAAGUAAGAAAAAAUUUUUGUUAAAUCUAGUAAAUACAUACUAAAAUUAACUAUGUUAAUCAGUAGCUUAUUCCAGGUGUCAAACUUUUUUUUUCUUUUUACACCUACACCUGUGGCAUAUGGAAUUUCCCUGUCCAGGGGUCGAAUCUAAGCUGCAGCUCUGGCCUACAUCACGGCCAUGGCAACAGUAGACCUGAGGCACAUCUGUAACCUAUGCUGCAGCUUGCUGCAACUCUGGGAUUUAAUCCAUUAAAGAGGCCAGGAAUCUAACCCACAGCCUCACAGGGAGACAACAGGUCCCUAACCUGCUAAGGUACAAUGGGAACUCCCAGGGGUCAAACUUAUAUUGUGGAAAAAAGAUCACUUGCAGUAAUAUGAAAUAGAUAUAAAGUAGAUAUAAACUCCUUCUGUGUUCUUGGAGUCCCUAUUGGUUAAGGACUUGGUGUUGUCCCUGCUGUAGCUCAGGUUACUGCUGUGGCUUGUGUUUGAUUGCCUGGGAACUUCCAUAUGCUGUGGGCACAG